RNAcentral lists this unclassified non-coding RNA (418 nucleotides) under soil metagenome. RNAcentral's name for it is "partial contains 5.8S ribosomal RNA, internal transcribed spacer 2, and large subunit ribosomal RNA". The stretch from base 1 to 121 matches the Rfam family "5.8S ribosomal RNA", at positions 35 to 154 of the family's 154-position model. The record is from RNAcentral.
GAUGAAGAACGCAGUGAAAUGCGAUAAGUAAUGUGAAUUGCAGAAUUCAGUGAAUCAUCGAAUCUUUGAACGCACCUUGCGCUCUUUGGCCAUUCCAAGGAGCAUGCCUGUUUGAGUGUCAUUGAAUCCUCAAGGCCCCCUUUUCCUGCCCUUCCUUUUCAAGCUUGGGCUUUAGGGGACUUGGACUUUGGGAGUGCUGCGGUGCCGGGCUUUCUCCGGCUCCGCUCUCCUCAAAUGCAUCAGUAGGGGCCCCCUCAUCCCUUUCGGGUCUUUGCGGCGUUGAUAGUUGUCCACGCCUCUGCCCGUUGGGUCUCACCCUGCUCCCUCAACCCCCCCCCCCACGUUUUUCUUUAAACGCUUUUGACCUCAAAUCAGGUAGGACUACCCGCUGAACUUAAGCAUAUCAAUAAGCGGAGGA